Molecule: ribosomal RNA, 253 nt
Filed under: uncultured Haliangium sp.
Lineage: Bacteria; Pseudomonadati; Myxococcota; Haliangiales; Kofleriaceae
Description: partial 16S ribosomal RNA
Rfam family: Bacterial small subunit ribosomal RNA
Source: RNAcentral
UACGGAGGGUGCAAACGUUGCUCGGAAUCAUUGGGCGUAAAGCGCACGUAGGCGGCCUGUUAAGUCGGAUGUGAAAGCCCUGGGCUCAACCCAGGAAGUGCAUUCGAUACUGGCAGGCUUGAGUAUGGAAGAGGGUUGCGGAAUUCCCGGUGUAGAGGUGAAAUUCGUAGAUAUCGGGAGGAACACCAGUGGCGAAGGCGGCAACCUGGGCCAAUACUGACGCUGAGGUGCGAAAGCGUGGGGAGCAAACAGG